This 506-nucleotide ribosomal RNA is filed under the name uncultured bacterium. Its description in RNAcentral is "partial 16S ribosomal RNA". It matches the Rfam family "Bacterial small subunit ribosomal RNA", at positions 29 to 523 of the family's 1533-position model. The record is from RNAcentral.
AGUGAACGCUGGCGGUAGGCCUAACACAUGCAAGUCGAACGGCAGCACAGAGGAGCUUGCUCCUUGGGUGGCGAGUGGCGGACGGGUGAGGAAUACAUCGGGAUCUACUCUGUCGUGGGGGAUAACGUAGGGAAACUUACGCUAAUACCGCAUACGACCUACGGGUGAAAGCAGGGGAUCUUCGGACCUUGCGCGAUUGAAUGAGCCGAUGUCGGAUUAGCUAGUUGGCGGGGUAAAGGCCCACCAAGGCGACGAUCCGUAGCUGGUCUGAGAGGAUGAUCAGCCACACUGGAACUGAGACACGGUCCAGACUCCUACGGGAGGCAGCAGUGGGGAAUAUUGGACAAUGGGCGCAAGCCUGGUCCGGCCAUACCGCGUGGGUGAAGAAGGCCUUCGGGUUGUAAAGCCCUUUUGUUGGGAAAGAAAUCCAUCUGGUUAAUACCCGGGUGGGAUGACGGUACCCAAAGAAUAAGCACCGGCUAACUUCGUGCCAGCAGCCGCCGUAA